CGGGUUGUAAAGUACUUUCUAGCAGUGAGGAAGGUGGGUAUGUUAAUAGCAUAUUCAUUUUGACGUUAGCUGCAGAAGAAGCACCGGCUAACUCCGUGCCAGCAGCCGCGGUAAUACGGAGGGUGCGAGCGUUAAUCGGAAUUACUGGGCGUAAAGCGCAUGCAGGUGGUUUGUUAAGUCAGAUGUGAAAGCCCGGGGCUCAACCUCGGAAUUGCAUUUUGAAACUGGCAAACUAGAGUACUGUAGAGGGGGUAGAAUUUCAGGUGUAGCGGUGAAAUGCGUAGAGAUCUGAAGGAAUACCGGUGGCGAAGGCGGCCCCCUGGACAGAUACUGACACUCAGAUGCGAAAGCGUGGGGAGCAAACAGGAUUAGAUACCCUGGUAG
RNAcentral lists this ribosomal RNA (384 nucleotides) under uncultured bacterium. RNAcentral describes it as "bacterial SSU rRNA". It matches the Rfam family "Bacterial small subunit ribosomal RNA", at positions 419 to 793 of the family's 1533-position model. The record is from RNAcentral.